This 475-nucleotide ribosomal RNA is filed under the name uncultured marine bacterium. Its description in RNAcentral is "bacterial SSU rRNA". It matches the Rfam family "Bacterial small subunit ribosomal RNA", at positions 1 to 464 of the family's 1533-position model. The record is from RNAcentral.
UAGAGUUUGAUCCUGGCUCAGAAUGAACGCUGGCGGCGUGCUUAACACAUGCAAGUCGAACGAGAACGGGAUUGCUUGCAAUCCUUAGUAGAGUGGCGCACGGGUGAGUAACACGUAGAUAAUCUACCUUCAAGCCCGGGAUAACUAUUCGAAAGGAUAGCUAAUACCGGAUGAAGGUGUUUUGCCUAAGUAAAACAAUGAAAGAUUGCCUCUUCUUGAAAGCAAUUGUUUGGAGAUGAGUCUGCGGACCAUUAGUUUGUUGGUGGGGUAAAAGCCUACCAAGACUGCGAUGGUUAGCUGGUCUGAGAGGAUGAUCAGCCACACUGGAACUGGAACACGGUCCAGACUCCUACGGGAGGCAGCAGUGAGGAAUUUUGCGCAAUGGGGGAAACCCUGACGCAGCAACGCCGCGUGAGUGAAGAAGGCUCUUGGGUCGUAAAGCUCUGUCGACAGGGAAGAAAUUAACAUCAUCCAA